CAGAAAAUAUCAUGAGCUUUGUCCCAAUUUCCUCAUGAGAUACGCCCCUUUCUCAUGAGGAAAUUGGGACAAUCCUCAUGAGAAUUAUGGCUCAUGAGCCGAAAUUCAUGCGUACAAGAUCAUGAGAUCCGACCUUUUCUCAUGAGCCUCGACCCUGACUUUUCUCAUGAGCCUCCUGAUCUUGCCUCAUGAAGCUCUUGAUCUUUUCUCAUGAGCCUCAUGAGAUCAUGCUCGUGAGACGACCGCUCGCUGUCCAGACAAUGUAGGUUAUUUACGCAUGCGUGCCAAGGGAAAUAGUCGGUGUGGCUGUGCAGAUGUGCGUAUGGAGUGAAUUCGUCGCUGUUUCCUCGGUAAUUUACUUUUAACAGUUCUAUUUAGUCAACAACUAUGGUGAUACUCUAGCUAGUAAAGUUUCUCUUUGAUCUAGCUAUGCUUGUGCUUGUUGCUAGACACUUUGUUUACAGCUCACCAAAGCUCGUGCGCAUGGAAGCGGAUCUCCCGGAUAGAAUAAUCGAACCAGCGCUAACACAACGGAGAAAGUAGCACGCGCGCGCGCGUUUAUGCUUUAGUUAAUUAAGGAACGUUAAUUUGCAGUGGUAACAUGUGGAAUCCUCUCAGAAGAUACAUUUGCUCUUUCACCUGUGUCUUUUUAGAAAGCAAACAUCAUUGAGACUGGGAGAUGUCACAUAGAGUUCCAGAUGACUUGAAGGGUCUGUUUGAUGCCAGCAUCUCUGUUGAGAUAGAUGUUCUCACAUUCACAAGAUUGGUUGUAUAGGAAAUGGUCAAUAUUCUUCAUUGAACUGGAAGGAUGAGAAGUUUGAACAUGAUCUAACAGCAUCAGUUGUUCAUCCACUAAGAAAUGUUGAUCCUUGUGCUCUUGUUGAAGCAGCUAUGCAAGACGAUGUGAUCACAAACUGGCCAAUCGAGACCUGUAGUUAGCGCAAAGGCUAGAAUAUCUUGAGCUACUUUCUGUAAAUAGAUUACUUUGCAAGUGCGCAUCAAUACUUAAUUGUGAGGGGAGACAUGUAAUUGUUGAAACUCUCAAUGAUAUCGAAGUAGAUCUGUAAUCAUAGAGACCACGCUGCAUGUGAACUUAAUUGAUACAAAUAUAACUAGAAUGGAAA
Long non-coding RNA from Corticium candelabrum, 1124 nucleotides. RefSeq lists it as uncharacterized. Lineage: Eukaryota; Metazoa; Porifera; Homoscleromorpha; Homosclerophorida; Plakinidae. The transcript has 2 exons. The record is from RefSeq and is a predicted model, not a curated record.